UACGUAGGGUGCGAGCGUUGUCCGGAAUUAUUGGGCGUAAAGGGCUCGUAGGCGGUUUGUCGCGUCGGGCGUGAAAACAUCCAGCUUAACUGGGUGCUUGCUUUCGAUACGGGCAGACUAGAGGUAUGCAGGGGAGAACGGAAUUCCUGGUGUAGCGGUGAAAUGCGCAGAUAUCAGGAGGAACACCGGUGGCGAAGGCGGUUCUCUGGGCAUGACCUGACGCUGAGGAGCGAAAGUGUGGGGAGCGAACAGG
Molecule: ribosomal RNA, 253 nt
Filed under: uncultured bacterium
Lineage: Bacteria
Description: partial 16S ribosomal RNA
Rfam family: Bacterial small subunit ribosomal RNA
Source: RNAcentral